AGAUUGGAAGUUACUAGGGAACAUUACACGGUUCUCAGAAUCACCAGGAGAACUGGAGAAACAGGCUACUGAAGACCAAGGAAGGAUCAACUUGAAGAAUAACCAUAAUUUCACCAAGAACAAUGUUUAAAAAAAGGCAUUUCAGACUGUGAUAAUAGGGGAAGUAAAAGUGUAAAUUUCCAGUGGAUGAAGAUGGCUGUGUCUCCUAAUCAAUAACCAGCAAAAUUAAACAACAAAAAAAGAGCAGAUAUGUAGAUAUUCUUCAGGCCAGGAUGAGGGUAAAUGGCUUGCCCACUGCAUAUGGAAGUGUUGUUCUACAGAGACUGCUCUUCAUCUACUGAAAACCGGUCCUGUGCUGUUCUUUGGAUCACUAAGUGUUGAUAAUUUUGUACUUCUCUGUUCAUUCUUGUUGACUCCACCACCUUUGUGAUACUCUACAGAAAUUAUAAUAUGGUUAGAGAAGGAGAAGAUAACAUUUGCA
Homo sapiens (human) is the source of this 481-nucleotide long non-coding RNA. Ensembl annotates it as long intergenic non-protein coding RNA 1218. The record is from Ensembl. Lineage: Eukaryota; Metazoa; Chordata; Mammalia; Primates; Hominidae.